This is an RNA transcript of Zingiber officinale, 1519 nucleotides long. RefSeq lists it as uncharacterized. The transcript has 4 exons. The record is from RefSeq and is a predicted model, not a curated record. Lineage: Eukaryota; Viridiplantae; Streptophyta; Magnoliopsida; Zingiberales; Zingiberaceae.
AGCUUUCGGUUUAUUUUUAGCCUGUGGCGUCGUCGCCGCUCCAACGACGCCGAUAAAAACUUUUUUUUCUGGCCGAGAUUGUUAGGGUUCUCGAUCGGAAAUCGAAGAUAUCACUCUUCCGCGAGUGGAAUCCAGGGGCAGACAGCCGUCUUCUCUCUGUCUCUUCAAUCUGUCUUCGUUUGUUGGGGAAUCUGCGGAGUGUUGCCUCUGGUUCCCGUAAUUGCUUCUCCGAGUAAUCUCCGAUGAUUUGCCGAUCGGUUUGUUGCGGCGCGAUGACCUUUCGGGCGCAGGACGCUGAGGGUGUCGUCGUCCUUGUGACGGGGCUGGGGGCGGAGGAUGCUAUUGGGGAUUACGUUAGGUUGGGCGACGCUGAUGCCGGAUCCCGUGGAAGUAAGUGGAGUUUGAUUUGGUGGUGGCUGAGGGUGGUUCUCUUGUGUGUUUUCUUGUGUGCGGCCGCUGUGCCUCUCGUCAUCUUCGUUGGCCCCUUGAUCAUCAGAAAGGUAAUUGUACCAGUGUUGAACUGGGAAACGAGAACAUUCAGUAGAUCUGUCCUGGUGCUGUUACUUUUUGCUUCUAUUGCCUUAUUUCCAACUUUCUUGUUACCUUCAUCGCCUUGCAUGUGGAUAGCUGGGAUGACUUUUGGCUAUGGUUAUGGCUUUCUUCUAAUUAUGGUUGGGAGCCUUAUAGGGAUGUCGCUGCCUUUUUUUGUUGGAUCAUUUUUCCGUCAUGAUCUACAUAGAUGGUUAGAGAAAUGGCCCAAGAAAGCAGCCAUUAUAAGAUUGGCUGGUGAAGGAGAUUGGUUUCAUCAAUUUCGAGCUGUUGUUUUGCUGAGGAUUUCACCAUUCCCUUAUCUUAUAUUUAAUUAUGCAGCUGUUGCAGCAAAUAUUAAGUAUGGACCAUAUAUAUCAGGUUCAGCUGUAGGAACUGUGCAUGAGAUCUUCAUAACAAUUUACAGGUUGGUAAACUUUUCCUGCUUUGAACUUCUGAAUGAAUUGCUCUAGCCGGCCCACUCGUUCAUAUGUGGCUUAGCAUCCAUUUUAAUCCAGUACUUUUCUGUUGGUAAACUAUGUGCUCUCAUAUAUACCAUAUUCAUAUGUCAAUAUCAGUUACUCAACAACAUAUGCUUGAUGAUCUAGGUUUGAGUUCUUCAUAUCAUGAAUCCUUGAGUAAUGUCAAAAAAUAUUGUCUUUCAUUUACUAAUACAAUUAAUUCUCUAUCCUGAGAAGUUUCUGCCUCUGUAUUCUACUAUAAGAAAGAUGGCACAUGAUACUAAGCACAGUGGUUCAUGGAUGCUGGGUAAUGCAGAAGGCAAAUCCCUCUGAUAUUUUGAGAUGAUCGGCUAAUGUUGAAUAUUAGUAGAUUGAAAAUCUAAUUGGAAGCUGUUUACUAUCUUUUCUAGCCCUCACAUCCUGCGGUAGACUGAUUCAGAGCUUAGCGGAUGCAACAAAUACUGGAGUUUUCCUUUCGAUGCAGCAGAUCGUCUACGAUGCCAUUGGAUUCUGUGUUGCAGCAGCGGCUA